GGGGAUAGCCCGGAGAAAUUCGGAUUAAUACCCCAUAAUGAUAUUUAGAGGCAUCUUUGAAUAUUUAAAGUUUCGACGGUACGAGAUGGGCAUGCGUGACAUUAGCUAGUUGGUGAGGUAACGGCCCACCAAGGCUACGAUGUCUAGGGGUUCUGAGAGGAUUAUCCCCCACACUGGUACUGAGACACGGACCAGACUCCUACGGGAGGCAGCAGUAAGGAAUAUUGGUCAAUGGGCGCAAGCCUGAACCAGCCAUGCCGCGUGAAGGAUGACGGCCCUAUGGGUUGUAAACUUCUUUUGUACGGGAAAAAACCUCUGGUCGAGUAUCAGAGCUGAUGGUACCGUAAGAAUAAGCAUCGGCUAACUCCGUGCCAGCAGCCGCGGUAAUACGGAGGAUGCAAGCGUUAUCCGGAUUUAUUGGGUUUAAAGGGUGCGUAGGCGGAUUAAUAAGUCAGUGGUGAAAACCUUCAGCUUAACUGGAGACUUGCCAUUGAUACUGUUAGUCUUGAGUACGGUCAAGGUAGGCGGAAUGUGUAAUGUAGCGGUGAAAUGCUUAGAUAUUACACAGAACACCGAUUGCGAAGGCAGCUUACUGGGCCAUUACUGACGCUGAUGCACGAAAGCGUGGGGAGCGAACAGGAUUAGAUACCCUGGUAGUCCACGCCGUAAACGAUGGAUGCUAGCCGUUGGAAAGCUUGCUUUUCUGUGGCGCAGCUAACGC
Molecule: ribosomal RNA, 721 nt
Filed under: uncultured bacterium
Lineage: Bacteria
Description: bacterial SSU rRNA
Rfam family: Bacterial small subunit ribosomal RNA
Source: RNAcentral